GCUAGAUCGUGUAGUGUUUAUCUUUUUUCCCUUAAUACGGGAUGAUUUAGCGUUUUGAGACCUUGAAUGCUAUUUUAUGUAGUGUUUUACUCUUAAAACGUCAAAUCGUUUUAUGUGUUACAGUGAUUUUUAGAUCCAAGUGUAAUAUAAUUUAGCAUUUUUUUUGGUAAAAAUCAUAACAUUACAUUAUCCGGUGUUAAUAAAUGAUAUUUUGGGCACUUUA
Molecule: long non-coding RNA, 223 nt
Filed under: Daucus carota (carrot)
Lineage: Eukaryota; Viridiplantae; Streptophyta; Magnoliopsida; Apiales; Apiaceae
Description: long non-coding RNA (DCAR_LNC006990)
Source: RNAcentral